Molecule: ribosomal RNA, 490 nt
Filed under: uncultured bacterium
Lineage: Bacteria
Description: partial 16S ribosomal RNA
Rfam family: Bacterial small subunit ribosomal RNA
Source: RNAcentral
AUUGAACGCUGGCGGCAGGCCUAACACAUGCAAGUCGAACGGUAACAGGAAGAAGCUUGCUUCUUUGCUGACGAGUGGCGGACGGGUGAGUAAUGUCUGGGAAACUGCCUGAUGGAGGGGGAUAACUACUGGAAACGGUAGCUAAUACCGCAUAACGUCGCAAGACCAAAGAGGGGGACCUUCGGGCCUCUUGCCAUCGGAUGUGCCCAGAUGGGAUUAGCUAGUAGGUGGGGUAACGGCUCACCUAGGCGACGAUCCCUAGCUGGUCUGAGAGGAUAACCAGCCACACUGGAACUGAGACACGGUCCAGACUCCUACGGGAGGCAGCAGUGGGGAAUAUUGCACAAUGGGCGCAAGCCUGAUGCAGCCAUGCCGCGUGUAUGAAGAAGGCCUUCGGGUUGUAAAGUACUUUCAGCGGGGAGGAAGGGAGUAAAGUUAAUACCUUUGCUCAUUGACGUUACCCGCAGAAGAAGCACCGGCUAACUCCGUG